AGUGAACGCUGGCGGUAGGCCUAACACAUGCAAGUCGAACGGCAGCACAGUAAGAGCUUGCUCUUACGGGUGGCGAGUGGCGGACGAGUGAGGAAUACAUCGGAAUCUACUUUUUCGUGGGGGAUAACGUAGGGAAACUUACGCUAAUACCGCAUACGACCUACGGGUGAAAGCAGGGGAUCUUCGGACCUUGCGCGAUUGAAUGAGCCGAUGUCGGAUUAGCUAGUUGGCGGGGUAAAGGCCCACCAAGGCGACGAUCCGUAGCUGGUCUGAGAGGAUGAUCAGCCACACUGGAACUGAGACACGGUCCAGACUCCUACGGGAGGCAGCAGUGGGGAAUAUUGGACAAUGGGCGCAAGCCUGAUCCAGCCAUGCCGCGUGGGUGAAGAAGGCCUUCGGGUUGUAAAGCCCUUUUGUUGGGAAAGAAAAGCAGCAGGUUAAUACCCCGCUGUUCUGACGGUACCCAAAGAAUAAGCACCGGCUAACUUCGUG
RNAcentral lists this ribosomal RNA (492 nucleotides) under uncultured bacterium. RNAcentral's name for it is "partial 16S ribosomal RNA". It matches the Rfam family "Bacterial small subunit ribosomal RNA", at positions 29 to 507 of the family's 1533-position model. The record is from RNAcentral.